This 854-nucleotide ribosomal RNA is filed under the name Teichospora quercus. RNAcentral's name for it is "partial 28S ribosomal RNA". It matches the Rfam family "Eukaryotic large subunit ribosomal RNA", at positions 68 to 940 of the family's 3401-position model. The record is from RNAcentral. Lineage: Eukaryota; Fungi; Ascomycota; Dothideomycetes; Pleosporales; Teichosporaceae.
ACAGGGAUUGCCCUAGUAACGGCGAGUGAAGCGGCAACAGCUCAAAUUUGAAAUCUGGCUCCUUUGGGGUCCGAGUUGUAAUUUGUAGAGGGUGCUUUGGUGUUGGCUGUGGUCCAAGUUCCCUGGAACAGGACGUCGCAGAGGGUGAGAACCCCGUACGUGGCCGCCAGUCUUCGCCGUGUAAAGCCCCUUCGAAGAGUCGAGUUGUUUGGGAAUGCAGCUCUAAAUGGGAGGUAAAUUCCUUCUAAAGCUAAAUAUUGGCCAGAGACCGAUAGCGCACAAGUAGAGUGAUCGAAAGAUGAAAAGCACUUUGGAAAGAGAGUGAAAUAGCACGUGAAAUUGUUGAAAGGGAAGCGCUUGGAGCCAGACGUGCCCGUAGUUGCUCAGCCGGGGUUCUCCCCGGUGCACUCUUCUGCGGGCAGGCCAGCAUCAGUUUGGGCGGUUGGAUAAAGACCUGCUAAACGUACCUCCCCCCGGGGAGGACUUAUAGGGUAGGCGGCAUACAACCAGCCCGGACUGAGGACCGCGCAUCUGCUAGGAUGCUGGCGUAAUGGCUGUAAGCGGCCCGUCUUGAAACACGGACCAAGGAGUCUAACAUCUAUGCGAGUGUUUGGGUGUCAAGCCCGAGCGCGCAAUGAAAGUGAACGCAGGUGGGAGCCCCUCGGGGUGCACCAUCGACCGAUCCUGAUGUCUUCGGAAGGAUUUGAGUAAGAGCAUAGCUGUUGGGACCCGAAAGAUGGUGAACUAUGCCUGAAUAGGGUGAAGCCAGAGGAAACUCUGGUGGAGGCUCGCAGCGGUUCUGACGUGCAAAUCGAUCGUCAAAUUUGGGCAUAGGGGCGAAAGACUAAUCGAAC